GACGAACGCUGGCGGCGUGCUUAACACAUGCAAGUCGAACGGAAAGGCCCUUCGGGGUACUCGAGUGGCGAACGGGUGAGUAACACGUGGGUGAUCUGCCCUGCACUUUGGGAUUAGCCUGGGAUAAUGGGUCUAAUACCGAAUAGGACCACGCGCUUCAUGGUGUGUGGUGGAAAGCUUUUGCGGUGUGGGAUGGGCCCGCGGCCUAUCAGCUUGUUGGUGGGGUAAUGGCCUACCAAGGCGACGACGGGUAGCCGGCCUGAGAGGGUGACCGGCCACACUGGGACUGAGAUACGGCCCAGACUCCUACGGGAGGCAGCAGUGGGGAAUAUUGCACAAUGGGCGCAAGCCUGAUGCAGCGACGCCGCGUGAGGGAUGACGGCCUUCGGGUUGUAAACCUCUUUCAAUAGGGACGAAGCGCAAGUGACGGUACCUAUAGAAGAAGCACCGGCCAACUACGUG
RNAcentral lists this ribosomal RNA (462 nucleotides) under uncultured bacterium. RNAcentral's name for it is "partial 16S ribosomal RNA". It matches the Rfam family "Bacterial small subunit ribosomal RNA", at positions 28 to 507 of the family's 1533-position model. The record is from RNAcentral.